RNAcentral lists this ribosomal RNA (388 nucleotides) under uncultured bacterium. Its description in RNAcentral is "bacterial SSU rRNA". It matches the Rfam family "Bacterial small subunit ribosomal RNA", at positions 29 to 417 of the family's 1533-position model. The record is from RNAcentral.
AUUGAACGCUGGCGGCAUGCUUUACACAUGCAAGUCGAACGGCAGCACGGGGGCAACCCCGGUGGCGAGUGGCGAACGGGUGAGUAACACAUCGGAACGUAUCUUCAAGUGGGGGAGUAACCUAUCGAAAGGUAGGCUAAUACCGCAUGUGCAAGGGAUUGGAAAGCGGGGGAUCGUAAGACCUCGCGCUUCUAGAGCGGCCGAUGUCGGAUUGGGUAGUUGGUGGGGUAAAGGCUCACCAAGCCUGCGAUCCGUAGCGGGUCUGAGAGGAUGAUCCGCCACACUGGGACUGAGACACGGCCCAGACUCCUACGGGAGGCAGCAGUGGGGAAUAUUGGACAAUGGGGCGAACCCUGAUCCAGCGACGCCGCGUGUGUGAAGAAGGCCU